CCUACGGGAGGCAGCAGUGGGGAAUAUUGGGCAAUGGAGGAAACUCUGACCCAGCAAUGCCGCGUGAAUGAAGAAGGUCUUCGGAUUGUAAAGUUCUUUAGUCAGGGAAGAAGUCAAUGACGGUACCUGAAGAAUAAGCUCCGGCUAACUACGUGCCAGCAGCCGCGGUAAUACGUAGGGAGCAAGCGUUGUUCGGAAUGACUGGGCGUAAAGGGUGCGUAGGCGGAAUAUCAAGUCAGCGGUAAAAAUUCGGGGCUCAACCCCGUCGUGCCGUUGAAACUGAUGUUCUUGAGUGGGCGAGAAGUAUGCGGAAUGCGUGGUGUAGCGGUGAAAUGCAUAGAUAUCACGCAGAACUCCGAUUGCGAAGGCAGCAUACCGGCGCCCAACUGACGCUGAAGCACGAAAGCGUGGGUAUCGAACAGGAUUAGAUACCCCGGUAGUC
This 442-nucleotide ribosomal RNA is filed under the name uncultured bacterium. RNAcentral describes it as "partial 16S ribosomal RNA". It matches the Rfam family "Bacterial small subunit ribosomal RNA", at positions 338 to 795 of the family's 1533-position model. The record is from RNAcentral.